ACGCUCGACACCUACGGAGGCAGCAGUCGGGAAUAUUGCGCAAUGGAGGAAACUCUGACGCAGUGACGCCGCGUAUAGGAAGAAGGUUUUCGGAUUGUAAACUAUUGUCGUUAGGGAAGAGAAAGGACAGUACCUAAGGAGGAAGCUCCGGCUAACUACGUGCCUGCAGCCGCGGUAAUCUGAGGCGGGCUGGACAAGGC
RNAcentral lists this ribosomal RNA (200 nucleotides) under uncultured bacterium. Its description in RNAcentral is "partial 16S ribosomal RNA". It matches the Rfam family "Bacterial small subunit ribosomal RNA", at positions 328 to 538 of the family's 1533-position model. The record is from RNAcentral.